Molecule: ribosomal RNA, 492 nt
Filed under: uncultured bacterium
Lineage: Bacteria
Description: partial 16S ribosomal RNA
Rfam family: Bacterial small subunit ribosomal RNA
Source: RNAcentral
AGUGAACGCUGGCGGUAGGCCUAACACAUGCAAGUCGAACGGCAGCACAGUAAGAGCUUGCUCUUACGGGUGGCGAGUGGCGGACGGGUGAGGAAUACAUCGGAAUCUACUUUUUCGUGGGGGAUAACGUAGGGAAACUUACGCUAAUACCGCAUACGACCUACGAGUGAAAGCAGGGGAUCUUCGGACCUUGCGCGAUUGAAUGGGCCGAUGUCGGAUUAGCUAGUUGGCGGGGUAAAGGCCCACCAAGGCGACGAUCCGUAGCUGGUCUGAGAGGAUGAUCAGCCACACUGGAACUGAGACACGGUCCAGACUCCUACGGGAGGCAGCAGUGGGGAAUAUUGGACAAUGGGCGCAAGCCUGAUCCAGCCAUACCGCGUGGGUGAAGAAGGCCUUCGGGUUGUAAAGCCCUUUUGUUGGGAAAGAAAAGCAGCAGGUUAAUACCCCGCUGUUCUGACGGUACCCAAAGAAUAAGCACCGGCUAACUUCGUG